Molecule: transfer RNA, 76 nt
Filed under: Lachnospiraceae bacterium
Lineage: Bacteria; Bacillati; Bacillota; Clostridia; Lachnospirales; Lachnospiraceae
Description: tRNA-Val
Rfam family: tRNA
About the family: Transfer RNA (tRNA) molecules are approximately 80 nucleotides in length. Their secondary structure includes four short double-helical elements and three loops (D, anti-codon, and T loops).
Source: RNAcentral
GGGCACUUAGCGCAGCUGGGAGCGCACAUCCUUGACGUGGAUGGGGUCAGGGGUUCGAGUCCCUUAGUGCCCACGA